RNAcentral lists this ribosomal RNA (260 nucleotides) under Chryseobacterium mucoviscidosis. Its description in RNAcentral is "partial 16S ribosomal RNA". It matches the Rfam family "Bacterial small subunit ribosomal RNA", at positions 1271 to 1533 of the family's 1533-position model. The record is from RNAcentral. Lineage: Bacteria; Pseudomonadati; Bacteroidota; Flavobacteriia; Flavobacteriales; Weeksellaceae.
AUCUCGAAAGCCGGUCUCAGUUCGGAUUGGAGUCUGCAACUCGACUCUAUGAAGCUGGAAUCGCUAGUAAUCGCGCAUCAGCCAUGGCGCGGUGAAUACGUUCCCGGGCCUUGUACACACCGCCCGUCAAGCCAUGGAAGUCUGGGGUACCUGAAGUCGGUGACCGUAACAGGAGCUGCCUAGGGUAAAACAGGUAACUAGGGCUAAGUCGUAACAAGGUAGCCGUACCGGAAGGUGCGGCUGGAACAUCUCAUUUUAGA